RNAcentral lists this ribosomal RNA (529 nucleotides) under Geomyces sp. AR-2009c. RNAcentral's name for it is "eukaryotic LSU rRNA". The stretch from base 165 to 318 matches the Rfam family "5.8S ribosomal RNA". The record is from RNAcentral. Lineage: Eukaryota; Fungi; Ascomycota; Leotiomycetes; Thelebolales; Pseudeurotiaceae.
ACCAGGUUGCCGCAAGGCCUCCUGGGUAACCUACCACCCUUUGUUUAUUACACUUUGUUGCUUUGGCAAGCCUGCCCUCGGGCUGCUGGCUCCGGCCGGCGAGCGCUUGCCAGAGGACCUAAACUCUGUUUGUCUAUACUGUCUGAGUACUAUAUAAUAGUUAAAACUUUCAACAACGGAUCUCUUGGUUCUGGCAUCGAUGAAGAACGCAGCGAAAUGCGAUAAGUAAUGUGAAUUGCAGAAUUCAGUGAAUCAUCGAAUCUUUGAACGCACAUUGCGCCCCCUGGUAUUCCGGGGGGCAUGCCUGUCCGAGCGUCAUUACAACCCUCAAGCUCAGCUUGGUAUUGGGCCCCGCCGACCCGGCGGGCCCUAAAGUCAGUGGCGGUGCCGUCCGGCUCCGAGCGUAGUAAUUCUUCUCGCUCUGGAGGUCCGGUCGUGUGCUCGCCAGCAACCCCCAAUUUUUUUCAGGUUGACCUCGGAUCAGGUAGGGAUACCCGCUGAACUUAAGCAUAUCAAAGGCCGGGAGGAA